RNAcentral lists this long non-coding RNA (258 nucleotides) under Lathyrus oleraceus (garden pea). Its description in RNAcentral is "Pisum sativum (pea) long non-coding RNA (PSAT_LNC031754)". Lineage: Eukaryota; Viridiplantae; Streptophyta; Magnoliopsida; Fabales; Fabaceae. The record is from RNAcentral.
UUUUAUUUUCUUUUAAUUCCUUUUUAUUUCAAAAAAUUCAUAUCUAUUUUAUUUGAAGUCACAAAAAUAUGAGACUAAUGGCAAAAAUUUUCUUUAAAAAUCUAGUUUCAUAAUCUUAUUUUAAAUUAUUUUUGUGACUUCAUUUAAUAUUUUUUUGUGAAUUAUUUUGUUUUUAAUAGUUUUUAAUUCAUUUUAAUACUUUUUGAUAUCUGAAAAUUCCAAAAACAUUUUCUUAACACAUAUGGAUCAUGAUAAGUC